ACGCUCGACACCUACGGGGGCAGCAGUGGGGAAUAUUGCACAAUGGGGGAAACCCUGAUGCAGCGACGCCGCGUGAGUGAAGAAGUAUUUCGGUAUGUAAAGCUCUAUCAGCAGGGAAGAGAAUGACGGUACCUGACUAAGAAGCCCCGGCUAACUACGUACCAGCAGCCGCGGUAAUCUGAGCGGGCUGGCAAGGC
RNAcentral lists this ribosomal RNA (197 nucleotides) under uncultured bacterium. Its description in RNAcentral is "partial 16S ribosomal RNA". It matches the Rfam family "Bacterial small subunit ribosomal RNA", at positions 328 to 539 of the family's 1533-position model. The record is from RNAcentral.